CAUAACUGCUUGACAAGGCCUGAUCUCGUCUGAUCUCAGAAGAUAAGCAGGGCUGGGUCUGGUUAGCACUUGGAUGGGAGACGACAGGGAAUACCAGGUA
RNAcentral lists this ribosomal RNA (100 nucleotides) under Periophthalmus magnuspinnatus. The record is from RNAcentral. Lineage: Eukaryota; Metazoa; Chordata; Actinopteri; Gobiiformes; Gobiidae.